GACGAACGCUGGCGGCGUGCUUAACACAUGCAAGUCGAACGGAAAGGCCCUGCUUUUGUUGGGUGCUCGAGUGGCGAACGGGUGAGUAACACGUGAGUAACCUGCCCUUGACUUUGGGAUAACUUCAGGAAACUGGGGCUAAUACCGGAUAGGAGCUCCUGCUGCAUGGUGGGGGUUGGAAAGUUUCGGCGGUUGGGGAUGGACUCGCGGCUUAUCAGCUUGUUGGUGGGGUAGUGGCUUACCAAGGCUUUGACGGGUAGCCGGCCUGAGAGGGUGACCGGCCACAUUGGGACUGAGAUACGGCCCAGACUCCUACGGGAGGCAGCAGUGGGGAAUAUUGCACAAUGGGCGGAAGCCUGAUGCAGCAACGCCGCGUGCGGGAUGACGGCCUUCGGGUUGUAAACCGCUUUCGACUGUGACGAAGCGUGAGUGACGGUAAUGGGUAAAGAAGCACCGGCUAACUACGUG
Molecule: ribosomal RNA, 468 nt
Filed under: uncultured bacterium
Lineage: Bacteria
Description: partial 16S ribosomal RNA
Rfam family: Bacterial small subunit ribosomal RNA
Source: RNAcentral